UAAGAGUAAUAUUCAGGUAUUAAAUAAGUGU
RNAcentral lists this non-coding RNA (31 nucleotides) under Mus musculus (house mouse). The record is from RNAcentral. Lineage: Eukaryota; Metazoa; Chordata; Mammalia; Rodentia; Muridae.